UCUCUUAAAAGGAGAGAAGAACGGCCUCCAUCUUCUAAAAAAAUUCUCCAUCUCAAACGUCAUUUUCUCCUGAUGGAGAAGCUGAAAAUUUCACCAUCUAAAAAGCUUGAAGUGCUUUUGGCUGAUAAAUGACCAAAAUAAUCUGUCUUCUCCCCCUUGGAAAAACGUUAUUUCCUCUGCUGUGAAAGUUCUAUACCCAUUUUUUUCACAUUUUCGCUGUGAAAGCUCCUUCCUGUUCUUUGUUCCUCUUCCGCAGAAAAAUGGCAGGGCUGGGUUACUGAAGAACUCUCAACCUCUGAAAAAAAAAAACAAAGAAGAUUUUAUACUUAGAAAAACGAAACGCGAUGCAGUGGAAUUUCUCUUCGGAUUCGGUUAAAUUUCAGUUUCCCUGUUGAUACUUAAUUUCUUUUCCGUAUAUUUCCUUUUUGUUUUGUGGCAAUGUCCGGCGAAACGGCAUCGUCUUCCGGAAUCAUCUUGGAAGGAAUUGAUGAUGUGGAGGACUACGUUUCGGGAGUUCAUACACCGGGUGGUAACAGGUUACUUACCAAGUGUGAUUCUAAUCUUAUUUCUGUAUGCUGUUCCACCAACCAUGAUGUUGUUUCCUGCAAUGGAGGGAAAUAUUUCACGUACUCAGAGGAAACGGAGUGCUUGCAUCAAAGUUCUGUACAAUAUGGGCAUUCCAUAUUUUACCCUCAAAUUAGAAUCUUAGUAUCCAUUGCACGCUAAACUGAUCAAUUGAAACUAUGUUUGCUUUUAUAAUUCUAAGUAUUUUGUUUUAUAUUCUCAAACAUUUAAUCUAAAGGGAGAUGAAAUAGUUAGUUCGAUCCA
This is an RNA transcript of Gossypium raimondii (Peruvian cotton), 828 nucleotides long. RefSeq lists it as uncharacterized. The record is from RefSeq and is a predicted model, not a curated record. The transcript has 3 exons. Lineage: Eukaryota; Viridiplantae; Streptophyta; Magnoliopsida; Malvales; Malvaceae.